Molecule: RNA transcript, 2040 nt
Organism: Perca fluviatilis (European perch)
Lineage: Eukaryota; Metazoa; Chordata; Actinopteri; Perciformes; Percidae
Exons: 4
Source: RefSeq, a predicted model, not a curated record
CGUAGUCAGAGCGACGGAAAUGUUUCACAUGUGUUCCGCGUGUAUACAUCACAUCCAUGGUAUGGUUAUAUUGUGGAAAAGUUUGAUGGAGAGACUCCUGUAAGCCAACAAACGUUAUGGUAAUGGAGCCCAACGACUGUUGCCGUUUUUGCGAAAAGAAUAUGAGAAUUGCGGGCGUGCUUACACAUUCAUCAAGCAUCUUCGAAAAACAGAAGAAACCCCAAAGUAUUGCCGAGAGACUACUGCAUGUUGGAGUGGCGGUUGUUAAAACACCGGCAAAGUCGAACAGAAUUUGUCAGCGGUGUCUCACCCUUUUAUCGAGACUUGAACGUGACCUGCCGGUGUACUGGAGAUGGGUGGAGGAUGAAGAGAACGAGGAAGCCUCCGCAGUAGAAACGAUGACAGGUCGUUCAGGUAAACGAGACCGUGAGCGUGAGCCUACUCCGUCGAAGACACCCAGGGCCUUGAAAAAGUUCUGCCAUAACCCUGCAAGUCCUGGGACAGCUAAUAUUCGACGCAGCAUCACCGGGUAUUUUGUGUGUCCAAACCACAGGAAGACGUCAAAGCGGGAUGUGCUGCAGAAUUGAGGCUCAAAGAGGAAGAAUCAAUCCCGACUUCGCGAUAUCCAAGUGUAAAAUCAGAAACUGGCACCGCUGACAGUUCCUGUCGAAUUUUGCCUCCUGUAAGACACGUCGCCUCCCAGACUGACCCCUCAAAGAAAACAUUCGACACACACCUAUCUAUGCAAACUCUGCAGAAUCAAUUUCGAAGUAAAGCUACCCAGGUGAAGAUGCCCAGCAGAGAUUGCGGUGUGGGCACCGUCACCUUCCCCUUGGACAGUCCACUACUGCUCCUACAACCAACAUUAGUAAAGAGACCAUCCAAGAGACCUCGACUCAGCCUUACAGACGAGGAGGAAGGCCCUUCAGAAUCCAGCUCGUCUGUGGCCGUUCAUGAACCAGAGGACUCAAACAUGACUCUGUGGACUCAGUCACUGUCGUGGGUAAAAUGAACAUGAUCAGGGUCAAACAAAGAGUCAAAGAAUUGAUUGAAAACUUUUGGAUUAAAGCAGACACUCAGAAAGCGUAUGGGACAAAUUGGGAGCUUCUAAAAUAUGAGUUGGGGAAGUUUCUCAGGAAGUUUGGUGGUGAUUUGGCAGUUGAAGACGAGGUUAUUGAGCAGCUAGCGUUUCUUUCUCAACAAGAGUAUCUAAUGAUGAAAGAUGUGAAUAUAAGAAAUUACAAAAUAAAUUAAUGACAUUUAUAAAUCAAAAGCUAAGGGAGCCUACAUAAGGUCAAGAAAACGAUGGAUGGAAGAGGGUGAACAAAAUUCAGCCUACCUCUUUACACUUGAAAAGAGUAAAAAUGUACUGGCUACUGUAGAUCAAUUAAAGUGGAGGGAAAAAUUAUUGAAGAUCCAAGAGACUUAGCCGUCCACUGCUAUAAUUUCUAUAACAAUCUAUACGCAUCUAAUUACUGCGAGGGAACAACUAAAUCAUGUAUGGACUCUUAUCUUGUAGAAUUAUAUCCCCAGAAGAUAGACUACUGUGAUGAUAGCAUAUUCCAGGAGGAGUUGAAGGCGAUUUAAAAAAUCUCAAAAACAACAAAGGCCCAGGGUGUGAUGGUAUAACUGCUGAAUUGUACAAAAUGUUUGAUGAAUUACUAACUCCCUUUCUGGUAAAAGUCUCUAAGCUCUCAGAGAGCUUAGAGAAAGAAGCUCUCCCAACAACUAUGACGCAGGGUGUCAUCACAUUGAUUCCGAAACCAGACAAGGACAGAAACUGUCUAGAGAAUUGGCGUCGGCUAUCACUCUCUUAAUUAACGAUUACAAAAUGUUUGCACUAGUUUUCGCUAAUAAAUUUAAAGAAGUGUUAGACUCUAUUAUAGAUGAAUCACAAUCUGGGUUCAUGAGGAAAUGACAUAUUGCAAAUUGCAAAUAAUAUUAGAUUAGUGCUGGAUUUAUUGGAUUAUAAUGAGUUUAUCAUUGACAACAGCUUCAUUCUGUUCCUUGAUUUUUAUAAAGGCAUUUGACUCGCUUUAA